RNAcentral lists this ribosomal RNA (732 nucleotides) under uncultured bacterium. RNAcentral describes it as "bacterial SSU rRNA". It matches the Rfam family "Bacterial small subunit ribosomal RNA", at positions 127 to 871 of the family's 1533-position model. The record is from RNAcentral.
UGCCCUGCACUUUGGGAUAAGCCCGGUAAACUGGGUCUAAUACCGAAUAUGACCAUGCGCCUCCUGGUGUGUGGUGGAAAGCUUUUGCGGUGUGGGAUGGGCCCGCGGCCUAUCAGCUUGUUGGUGGGGUAAUGGCCUACCAAGGCGACGACGGGUAGCCGGCCUGAGAGGNNNNNNNNNCNCNNUGGGACUGAGAUACGGCCCAGACUCCUACGGGAGGCANCAGUGGGGAAUAUUGCACAAUGGGCGCAAGCCUGAUGCAGCGACGCCGCGUGAGGGAUGACGGCCUUCGGGUUGUAAACCUCUUUCAGCACAGACGAAGCGCAAGUGACGGUAUGUGCAGAAGAAGGACCGGCCAACUACGUGCCAGCAGCCGCGGUAAUACGUAGGGUCCGAGCGUUGUCCGGAAUUACUGGGCGUAAAGAGCUCGUAGGUGGUUUGUCGCGUUGUUCGUGAAAACUCACAGCUUAACUGUGGGCGUGCAGGCGAUACGGGCAGACUUGAGUACUGCAGGGGAGACUGGAAUUCCUGGUGUAGCGGUGGAAUGCGCAGAUAUCAGGAGGAACACCGGUGGCGAAGGCGGGUCUCUGGGCAGUAACUGACGCUGAGGAGCGAAAGCGUGGGGAGCGAACAGGAUUAGAUACCCUGGUAGUCCACGCCGUAAACGGUGAGUACUAGGUGUGGGUUUCCUUCCUUGGGAUCCGUGCCGUAGCUAACGCAUUAAGUACCCCG